This 429-nucleotide ribosomal RNA is filed under the name bacterium. RNAcentral describes it as "partial 16S ribosomal RNA". It matches the Rfam family "Bacterial small subunit ribosomal RNA", at positions 355 to 776 of the family's 1533-position model. The record is from RNAcentral.
UAGGGAAUCUUCGGCAAUGGGGGCAACCCUGACCGAGCAACGCCGCGUGAGUGAAGAAGGUUUUCGGAUCGUAAAGCUCUGUUGUAAGAGCAGAACGUGUGUGAGAGUGGAAAGUUCACACAGUGACGGUAACUUACCAGAAAGGGACGGCUAACUACGUGCCAGCAGCCGCGGUAAUACGUAGGUCCCGAGCGUUGUCCGGAUUUAUUGGGCGUAAAGCGAGCGCAGGCGGUUUUAUAAGUCUGAAGUUAAAGGCAGUGGCUUAACCAUUGUUCGCUUUGGAAACUGUUAAACUUGAGUGCAGAAGGGGAGAGUGGAAUUCCAUGUGUAGCGGUGAAAUGCGUAGAUAUAUGGAGGAACACCGGUGGCGAAAGCGGCUCUCUGGUCUGUAACUGACGCUGAGGCUCGAAAGCGUGGGGAGCAAACAGG